RNAcentral lists this ribosomal RNA (382 nucleotides) under uncultured bacterium. RNAcentral describes it as "bacterial SSU rRNA". It matches the Rfam family "Bacterial small subunit ribosomal RNA", at positions 30 to 412 of the family's 1533-position model. The record is from RNAcentral.
AUUGAACGCUGGCGGCAUGCCUUACACAUGCAAGUCGAACGGCAGCACGGACUUCGGUCUGGUGGCGAGUGGCGAACGGGUGAGUAAUGUAUCGGAACGUACCUUUCAGUGGGGGAUAACGUAGCGAAAGUUACGCUAAUACCGCAUAUUCUGUGAGCAGGAAAGCAGGGGAUCGCAAGACCUUGCGCUGAUUGAGCGGCCGAUAUCAGAUUAGCUAGUUGGUGGGGUAAAGGCCUACCAAGGCUACGAUCUGUAGCGGGUCUGAGAGGAUGAUCCGCCACACUGGAACUGAGACACGGUCCAGACUCCUACGGGAGGCAGCAGUGGGGAAUUUUGGACAAUGGGGGCAACCCUGAUCCAGCCAUGCCGCGUGAGUGAAGAA